Apodemus sylvaticus (European woodmouse) is the source of this 1442-nucleotide long non-coding RNA. RefSeq lists it as uncharacterized. The transcript is spliced from 3 exons. The record is from RefSeq and is a predicted model, not a curated record. Lineage: Eukaryota; Metazoa; Chordata; Mammalia; Rodentia; Muridae.
UCAAUAUAUAGAUCAACUGGCCUCGAACUCACAGAGAUCCUACUGCCUAUGUCACCAUGCCUGGCUCAUCCUUGCAUUUAUUAGGAAUUUAGCUUCUGGCUGGAUUACCCAGAGUGAAGUAAAGAUGGCAGCUUGCUCUCUUCUGUCUAAUAACCGCAGCCAAGGACUCCAGCUGUCAGCACAAUUGGCCCUCAUGGUACCUGUCUUCUGGAAGAUUCUUACCAUACCCUAAAGAGCCCACAGGAACCCUGAUGUGUUUAAAUUGUGGACAAGGUGGGUGUAGAGAUAGCAGCUAUAAUAAAGAAGAGACCUUUCUUCUUUACUAAGAAAGAGAAACCUUCUGCUCUUGCUGAGACAAUAGGAAGGAGCCCAGGGAGCAAGACCCCACCAAAGCGUCACACAGGAUGUGGACACUGAUGAGGCCUGAGCUAAGCUGCCCUGGCCUGGUCUUUGACUUUGCCUAUGUCAUCAUGCCUAGGGUUGGAAACUGCCCCAUCCCCGCCAAUGAAGACUCCGGCGUCCUUUCCAGGAAAUCUACAGACAAGAGCAGGAAACUGUUGAAUGGCCUAUUUUUCUUCCCCUGCAAAAUGGUUUUAUUAUUUUGGUUGAACAAAAACAUCCUAAUGUGUUGACGAUGGGGAAGGAAAGAUACCCAGAUCUUAAAAUAGACCUGAUACCCCCGACCUUUGGCUGGAGCAUCCUUGCUUGUAACCUGGGAAAGAAUAUGUGAGAAACCCGAACUCCACCCAUUCUGCCCUCUGGGUUUGAGUUGUCGAAACUCCCUGGUGGCUAAAGGGUACUCUAGAUCAGGGGAAGCAGCCCUCGAAACAGCCUUGUGGCUGCUCUGGGGGGGCCUGUGGUUUCUCUUCAGCCAGUUGGGUGACCUUGAGUAAAUGACCCAACUCCUCUGUUACUUCAAAUCACAUGGGGGCAAGACAAGAGAGACGAGGACCAGGAGAGCCACACAAACCUGGCAUGCUACAGAUGGAGGGCCCCGAACUCUUUGGACUACAUUUCCCAGAAUCCCCGAAUCGCUGUUUUCCUGGUGGGUGCAGCCAAUGGGAGACAGUAGCAGAAGAUUGGCGCUCUGAGGAAGGGAGAAGCCGAGGUGUGAGGUGGAUCUAAUCCCACCCUCUCUGGUUCCAGCUGGAGAUAUUACUCCCUUCUUCUUCUCCUUUGUGCCUUCAGCCCAAGGAAGCAGCAGUUUCGAGCAGAUUGCAAUCUCUGGGUUGCUAAAUCCUCCGGUUCAGGUUUCUAGCUCGUCUGUCAUCUUUAACGCAUCUUAUUGCCUUAAUUCACUAAUGAACUAUUCGGCUUUGGCUCUGGUUUUCUGAUGGGAUUCUGUCUGCUCCAACUACCGUGACAGUCAUCGAAGCAGACAGUGUGCCUCUGUAGCCACAGAUUCCAGCACCCGAGGAUUAAAAACACCUGUACCGAAUACA